AGACUCUCCAGUGGUUAUGCCUCUGGGUGAUCCACUGACCUCUCAGGGGUCCUGUGCCCAAUCUUGACAGUAAAUGGUCAGUGUAGCACUAAUGGCCUGAGAAGCACAUGGGGGGGUCAGAGGUCCAGGGCCCUCAGAGUUACCCCACCUAGUUAGCCUCCUAGACCACAGAGAUACUGGGGUGUCCACAAUAGAGAGCAAAGGGGAGAGAUGGAAGAGACUGCAAAAAUGUGGAGAAGAUGCUCCAGACAGGGUGAACUUACUGCCCAAAGGAAGUGACUAUAAACGCAGAAGCACAGGAUGGGAUGGAGGCUGCAGCGCACUGCCCAGCCGCUCCCCUUCAGGGCCCAGACACCGCCCCCCCCCCCCCCCCCCCAAAGUGGGCAGUGCCGGCUGCUGACCGCGUGGCUGAGCUCUCUCCAGGACCGGCUGUCAGCCAAAGUGCUGCUCCAGAGAACGGGCCGGCCCAGCCCGCAGUGUAAACCUGUGCGCAGACCUCCGCUCAGAUUCCGGGUCCUGGGGAUUCUGACCUACGAUGAUGUCUCCGUUGUGAACACUGGCCUGGCUGUUGUUUACGGCUGUAGAGGAUCCUGCGGGGCACAUCCCUGCCCCUGGGCUGCUGGGAAUAUCUGCAGCUGGUGGCUCAGCACUGAGUCCCUUCCAGCCUCAGGAAGCCGCCUCAUUCCAAGGGCCAGUCACUGGCUGAUGCAGGCAAACAAAGGCCCAUUGCCUCAACUGGGGACAGCCUUGAACCAGGGCCAUGGCAGCUCUGGUGGGGGCCCUGUAGGAUCAGCUGAGGCUUCAGUGGAAACUGCCCAGUUGGUAGGCUCCUCCCUCUGCCCCUCCUGCCCUGCUCUGCUAACACUGGUCCUCCCCAGAGCACUCAACCAGCAAAACUUUUGCACACGCUUCUUCCAUCUCAGAGUCUUUUUCCCUGCAAACCCACUGAACUUCAUGGUGGCUUUGAUUUUCAGACACAUUUAAAUUUUGGAUUCGAAUCAGUCUUUUCCUUUGUGGCUACCCAGUUUUGAAUUGGGCUGUUUUAACAUUUUAAACUUUUUUAAUGUGAUUGACCGGUCAUCUGCAACAUCCUCUGCUGAAUCAGAGCUUUUCUCAAUUAUUUUACAUCCUACAUACACUUAUUAUAUAUGGCAUUAGUGUAUUUAUUCGGUCAGGCUUCUAGAGUCUCUAUUCUGUAUCACUGACCAGUCCAUUUCUUUUUAGUUUUAGAACACACUGUUUUAAUCAGGGUAGCUUUGUAAGUCACUUUGUUAACUGCAUUUUGUUUUAUUUUGUGUUAGACUCCCUUGAAUCCUUUUAGGAACAUGGCAGAAUGUUAAUACCAUAAA
Long non-coding RNA from Suricata suricatta (meerkat), 1349 nucleotides. RefSeq lists it as uncharacterized. The record is from RefSeq and is a predicted model, not a curated record. NCBI's taxonomy places the organism in Eukaryota, Metazoa, Chordata, Mammalia, Carnivora, Herpestidae. The transcript has 3 exons.